This 1348-nucleotide ribosomal RNA is filed under the name Escherichia coli. Its description in RNAcentral is "partial 23S ribosomal RNA". It matches the Rfam family "Bacterial large subunit ribosomal RNA", at positions 89 to 1482 of the family's 2925-position model. Lineage: Bacteria; Pseudomonadati; Pseudomonadota; Gammaproteobacteria; Enterobacterales; Enterobacteriaceae. The record is from RNAcentral.
UAUGAACCGUUAUAACCGGCGAUUUCCGAAUGGGGAAACCCAGUGUGUUUCGACACACUAUCAUUAACUGAAUCCAUAGGUUAAUGAGGCGAACCGGGGGAACUGAAACAUCUAAGUACCCCGAGGAAAAGAAAUCAACCGAGAUUCCCCCAGUAGCGGCGAGCGAACGGGGAGCAGCCCAGAGCCUGAAUCAGUGUGUGUGUUAGUGGAAGCGUCUGGAAAGGCGCGCGAUACAGGGUGACAGCCCCGUACACAAAAAUGCACAUGCUGUGAGCUCGAUGAGUAGGGCGGGACACGUGGUAUCCUGUCUGAAUAUGGGGGGACCAUCCUCCAAGGCUAAAUACUCCUGACUGACCGAUAGUGAACCAGUACCGUGAGGGAAAGGCGAAAAGAACCCCGGCGAGGGGAGUGAAAAAGAACCUGAAACCGUGUACGUACAAGCAGUGGGAGCCUCUUUUAUGGGGUGACUGCGUACCUUUUGUAUAAUGGGUCAGCGACUUAUAUUCUGUAGCAAGGUUAACCGAAUAGGGGAGCCGAAGGGAAACCGAGUCUUAACUGGGCGUUAAGUUGCAGGGUAUAGACCCGAAACCCGGUGAUCUAGCCAUGGGCAGGUUGAAGGUUGGGUAACACUAACUGGAGGACCGAACCGACUAAUGUUGAAAAAUUAGCGGAUGACUUGUGGCUGGGGGUGAAAGGCCAAUCAAACCGGGAGAUAGCUGGUUCUCCCCGAAAGCUAUUUAGGUAGCGCCUCGUGAAUUCAUCUCCGGGGGUAGAGCACUGUUUCGGCAAGGGGGUCAUCCCGACUUACCAACCCGAUGCAAACUGCGAAUACCGGAGAAUGUUAUCACGGGAGACACACGGCGGGUGCUAACGUCCGUCGUGAAGAGGGAAACAACCCAGACCGCCAGCUAAGGUCCCAAAGUCAUGGUUAAGUGGGAAACGAUGUGGGAAGGCCCAGACAGCCAGGAUGUUGGCUUAGAAGCAGCCAUCAUUUAAAGAAAGCGUAAUAGCUCACUGGUCGAGUCGGCCUGCGCGGAAGAUGUAACGGGGCUAAACCAUGCACCGAAGCUGCGGCAGCGACGCUGAUGCGUUGUUGGGUAGGGGAGCGUUCUGUAAGCCUGUGAAGGUGUGCUGUGAGGCAUGCUGGAGGUAUCAGAAGUGCGAAUGCUGACAUAAGUAACGAUAAAGCGGGUGAAAAGCCCGCUCGCCGGAAGACCAAGGGUUCCUGUCCAACGUUAAUCGGGGCAGGGUGAGUCGACCCCUAAGGCGAGGCCGAAAGGCGUAGUCGAUGGGAAACAGGUUAAUAUUCCUGUACUUGGUGUUACUGCGAAGGGGGGACGGAGAAGGC